UCGUAACAAGGUUUCCGUAGGUGAACCUGCGGAAGGAUCAUUAAAAAAUACAUUACACAUUGUUUUUGCGAACAAAAAAAUAAAUUUUUUUAUUCGAAUUUCUUAAUAUCAAAACUUUCAACAACGGAUCUCUUGGUUCUCGCAUCGAUGAAGAACGCAGCGAAUUGCGAUACGUAGUAUGACUUGCAGACGUGAAUCAUCGAAUCUUUGAACGCACAUUGCGCCUCGAGGCAUUCCUCGAGGCAUGCCUGUUUGAGCGUCGCAUCCCCUCUAACCCCCGGUUAGGCGUUGCUCCGAAAUAUCAACCGCGCUGUCAAACACGUUUACAGCACGACAUUUCGCCCUCAAAUCAGGUAGGACUACCCGCUGAACUUAAGCAUAUCA
Molecule: unclassified non-coding RNA, 384 nt
Filed under: Clavispora lusitaniae
Lineage: Eukaryota; Fungi; Ascomycota; Pichiomycetes; Serinales; Metschnikowiaceae
Description: sequence contains 18S rRNA gene, ITS1, 5.8S rRNA gene, ITS2, 28S rRNA gene
Rfam family: 5.8S ribosomal RNA (bases 113-262)
Source: RNAcentral